GAUGAACGCUGGCGGCGUGCCUAAUACAUGCAAGUCGAGCGAACGGACGAGAAGCUUGCUUCUCUGAUGUUAGCGGCGGACGGGUGAGUAACACGUGGAUAACCUACCUAUAAGACUGGGAUAACUUCGGGAAACCGGAGCUAAUACCGGAUGAUAUUUUGAACCGCAUGGUUCAAAAGUGAAAGACGGUCUUGCUGUCACUUAUAGAUGGAUCCGCGCUGCAUUAGCUAGUUGGUAAGGUAACGGCUUACCAAGGCAACGAUGCAUAGCCGACCUGAGAGGGUGAUCGGCCACACUGGAACUGAGACACGGUCCAGACUCCUACGGGAGGCAGCAGUAGGGAAUCUGCCGCAAUGGGCGAAAGCCUGACGGAGCAACGCCGCGUGAGUGAUGAAGGUCUUCGGAGCGUAAAACUCUGUUAUUAGGGAAGAACAUAUGUGUAAGUAACUGUGCACAUCUUGACGGUACCUAAUCAGAAAGCCACGGCUAACUACGUG
This 497-nucleotide ribosomal RNA is filed under the name uncultured bacterium. RNAcentral's name for it is "partial 16S ribosomal RNA". It matches the Rfam family "Bacterial small subunit ribosomal RNA", at positions 28 to 507 of the family's 1533-position model. The record is from RNAcentral.